GGUUCCGUAGCUCAGUAGGUAGAGCAGAGGACUGAAAAUCCUCGUGUCGCCGGUUCGAUUCCUGCCGGAACCACCA
Molecule: transfer RNA, 76 nt
Filed under: Ruminococcaceae bacterium FB2012
Lineage: Bacteria; Bacillati; Bacillota; Clostridia; Eubacteriales; Oscillospiraceae
Also listed under: 1 other name
Description: tRNA_Phe_GAA
Rfam family: tRNA
About the family: Transfer RNA (tRNA) molecules are approximately 80 nucleotides in length. Their secondary structure includes four short double-helical elements and three loops (D, anti-codon, and T loops).
Source: RNAcentral